GUCUUAAGUGUUUGAGAGUGUUAAGUGUGCAGUGUGUUAGGUGUUGAGUGUGUGAAGUGUAGAGUGUAUUAAGUGUGCAGUUAAGUGUGCAGCAAAGUGUGCAGCAAAGUGUGCAGUGUGUUAGGUGUGCAGUGUGGUAGGUUGCAGAGUGUCAGGUGUGCAGAGUGUCAGGUGUGCAGAGUGUCAGGUGUGCAGACUGUUAAGUGUGCAGAGUGUUAAGUGUGCAGAGUGUUAGGUGUGCAGUGUGUUAAGUGUACAGAGUGUCAGGUGUGCAGAGUGUUAGGUGUGCAGUGUGUUAAGU
Molecule: long non-coding RNA, 301 nt
Organism: Ictalurus punctatus (channel catfish)
Lineage: Eukaryota; Metazoa; Chordata; Actinopteri; Siluriformes; Ictaluridae
Source: Ensembl